CCAAAGGCUCUUUUCAGAGCCACUCAGAUCCUCAGUAAAGGCUGU
Non-coding RNA from Myotis lucifugus (little brown bat), 45 nucleotides. The record is from Rfam. Lineage: Eukaryota; Metazoa; Chordata; Mammalia; Chiroptera; Vespertilionidae.